GAUGAACGCUGACAGAAUGCUUAACACAUGCAAGUCCACUUGAACUUCGGUUUGGGUGGCGGACGGGUGAGUAACGCGUAAAGAACUUGCCUCACAGCUAGGGACAACAUUUGGAAACGAAUGCUAAUACCUGAUAUUAUGAUUAUAUGGCAUCGUAUAAUUAUGACAGCUAUCUGCGCUGUGAGAGAGCUUUGCGUCCCAUUAGCUAGUUGGAGAGGUAACAGCUCACCAAGGCGAUGAUGGGUAGCCGGCCUGAGAGGGUGAUCGGCCACAAGGGGACUGAGACACGGCCCUUACUCCUACGGGAGGCAGCAGUGGGGAAUAUUGGACAAUGGACCGAGAGUCUGAUCCAGCAAUUCUGUGUGCACGAUGAAGUUUUUCGGAAUGUAAAGUGCUUUCAGUUGGGAAGAAAAAAAUGACGGUACCAACAGAAGAAGUGACGGCUAAAUACGUG
This 454-nucleotide ribosomal RNA is filed under the name uncultured bacterium. Its description in RNAcentral is "partial 16S ribosomal RNA". It matches the Rfam family "Bacterial small subunit ribosomal RNA", at positions 28 to 507 of the family's 1533-position model. The record is from RNAcentral.